Molecule: ribosomal RNA, 253 nt
Filed under: uncultured bacterium
Lineage: Bacteria
Description: partial 16S ribosomal RNA
Rfam family: Bacterial small subunit ribosomal RNA
Source: RNAcentral
UACGUAGGGGGCAAGCGUUGUCCGGAUUUAUUGGGCGUAAAGAGCGUGUAGGCGGCCUGAAAGGUCAGCUGUGAAAACUCGAGGCUCAACCUCGAGACGUCGGUUGAAACCAUCUGGCUAGAGUCCGGAAGAGGAGUGUGGAAUUCCCGGUGUAGCGGUGAAAUGCGCAGAUAUCGGGAGGAACACCAAUGGCGAAGGCAGCUCGCUGGGACGUUACUGACACUGAGGCGCGAAAGCGUGGGGAGCGAACAGG